RNAcentral lists this unclassified non-coding RNA (241 nucleotides) under Glomeraceae sp. Its description in RNAcentral is "partial contains 5.8S ribosomal RNA and internal transcribed spacer 2". The stretch from base 1 to 71 matches the Rfam family "5.8S ribosomal RNA", at positions 84 to 154 of the family's 154-position model. The record is from RNAcentral. Lineage: Eukaryota; Fungi; Glomeromycota; Glomeromycetes; Glomerales; Glomeraceae.
GUGAAUCAUCGAAUCUUUGAACGCAAAUUGCACUCCCUGGUAUUCCGGGGAGUAUGCCUGUUUGAGGGUCGUUAGAAUAUAAAAUCGGGGCGUCGCUCUUUUUUUUAGUGUGAUCGCUGCGGGAUUGAGCCGUCUAUCAAAUGUUAAUUCAUGUCAAAUUGUCUUAGAAUUCAUUCAUCCGGUACGUUUAAAACGUAUUUAACAUCAAUUUUGUACAAGAAUGCGCGAUUACUUACCAUCU